RNAcentral lists this ribosomal RNA (255 nucleotides) under uncultured bacterium. RNAcentral's name for it is "partial 16S ribosomal RNA". It matches the Rfam family "Bacterial small subunit ribosomal RNA", at positions 524 to 776 of the family's 1533-position model. The record is from RNAcentral.
UACGUAGGGUGCAAGCGUUGUCCGGAAUUAUUGGGCGUAAAGAGCUCGUAGGCGGUCUGUCGCGUCGGCUGUGAAAAACCCGCAGCUCAACUGUGGGCUUGCAGCUGAUACGGGCGGGCUGGGAUUCGGUAGGGGAGACUGGAAUUCCUGGUGUAGCGGUGAAAUGCGCAGAUAUCAGGAGGAACACCAAUGGCGAAGGCAGAUCUCUGGGCCGUAACUGACGCUGAGGAGCGAAAGCAUGGGGGAGCGAACAGG